AUGCAAAUAGACUUUAUCUUGGCAAAUAACUCUUUUCUUGUUGUUGUUUUUGUUUGCUUGUUUCCAAAAAUAGAAAUAAAAUUACAAUUUUAUUGGCAGGGGGGAGAAUACUGUUUUAUUGUGAAGAAGGACUCAGAUAUUCAAAGAAUUAUCAAAAGAUGUAGCUUUGCAGUAGGAACCUCUGAAAGGACUUCAGUUCUUCCUGCCAUAUGGAUUGGUGCCAGAACAUGUUGCAGAAGCAGGCAUACCAAGUUUUAAGAUAUGUUACGUAUAAUUAAAAAGAAAUAUAAAGGAUAAAAAAGACCAUUGCCUGGCUAAGCAGCUGAAAAAUUUCAAGUAAUUCACAUCAAGACUUAAUGAAUAAAAUAUCAAGGUAUUUUGCA
This 383-nucleotide long non-coding RNA is filed under the name Anas platyrhynchos platyrhynchos (common mallard). Its description in RNAcentral is "lncRNA (ENSAPLG00000023719.1)". The record is from RNAcentral. Lineage: Eukaryota; Metazoa; Chordata; Aves; Anseriformes; Anatidae.